Molecule: ribosomal RNA, 173 nt
Filed under: uncultured bacterium
Lineage: Bacteria
Description: partial 16S ribosomal RNA
Rfam family: Bacterial small subunit ribosomal RNA
Source: RNAcentral
ACUCCUACGGGAGGCAGCAGUGAGGAAUAUUGCACAAUGGGCGAAAGCCUGAUGCAGCGACGCCGCGUGGAGGAUGAAGGAUUUCGGUCUGUAAACUCCUGUCAGUAGGGAAGAGAAUGGACGGUACCUACUGAGGAAGCUUCGGCUAACUACGUGCCAGCAGCCGCGGUAAU